UGUUCCCGGUUCAAUAUCCCCACGCCGAAGCUCUGCUCCUUGUGCCUUCAGAUGAGAGCGCCUUCGGAUCUUUGCGCUUGGGUCCUUGUUCACACCAGCGCUGUCCUGGGCUGCCCAGGUGCCAGCGGUGUGGCCCAAUCUCUGGGGCCUCUGCAUGGCUGGCUAAGAGCAUCGCGGAGCUGGUGUGAGGCGGGAGCUAGAGGCUAGAAGGCGCCUAAUGCUCCUGGCGCCGCUGGCGGCGGAGACCAAAGCGCCGGGAAAGGAAGAAGGCAGAAGCGCCUGGGGGGCGGGGGGAAGAGAGGAGGGAGUAGGGUGCUGCUGGGGCGCAGGUCAGGCGGUCCCCCUCCUUUGGCGCUCUCUCCGCCUCUAAGGCGCCCACCCAGGUCCGAGAACCUAGCGGCAGGACCAUGAAGAGGAAGAGACGGGGCGGCCAGCUGAGCGGAGGGCAUGGGCGCCACUGAUCAGCCAAGCAAGUCACGUCUGGGGCGAUUGGGUUGGUUUUUUUCCUCCCCCUUUUCCUUUCUUCCCCUCCCUUGUUGUCGAGGGCAAAGUGGAUGUAGCAGCGCCAUGCCCGGACUGGAGUGAGAGCGAGUGAAAAUGGCGUACAUACAGGACAGUUGGAGCCAUUAAAUGAGAGCUUUCUUUCUAGAAUCUCUGAUCUGCUGCUGUGUAGAUGGAACCUGUCGUCACUGCUGUCAAAAAUGUUAUGAGUGUAGCUGCUGCCAGUCAAGUGAAGAUGAAGUUGAAAUCUUGGGACCUUUCCCUGCCCAGACUCCACCCUGGUUGUAAGUGAAGUUGCCCUGGCUUCCUCUGGUACCAUGGUGUAGUGCAUGGUUUGUGUUUAAUAUCUGUGUGUGUGUGUGUGUGUGUGUGUGUGUAAUUUUAAGCAUUAUUGGAAAUAGUCCCUGGGAUAUGUUCUUCUUUGCCUGAUAGGGGUCAGAGGUCCACAAAAGGAAGAAUAAUUGGAGUUUAGGAGGCUAAUGAAAAUCUUUGUUGUGAUGCUCAUGUUAGCUUAUAGUCUACCUUUCCUGGUAUUUGGCAUGUUGGUGAGACUGAGUCUCUAAGGUAAUGUAAGUGUUAACAGCAUUGACUUUGGAGUAGGGGAUCUAGGUUUAGAUUCUGUCUUCUACCCUGAAUGACUUUAGGGAACUCCCUUAAACGCUCGGUGCCUCAAUUUCCU
This 1180-nucleotide long non-coding RNA is filed under the name Monodelphis domestica (gray short-tailed opossum). RNAcentral's name for it is "lncRNA (ENSMODG00000036511.1)". Lineage: Eukaryota; Metazoa; Chordata; Mammalia; Didelphimorphia; Didelphidae. The record is from RNAcentral.